AUCCAGCUGAUGAGUCCCAAGUAGGAAAAAACGCGUGUCCUGGAU
Molecule: non-coding RNA, 45 nt
Organism: Schistosoma curassoni
Lineage: Eukaryota; Metazoa; Platyhelminthes; Trematoda; Strigeidida; Schistosomatidae
Source: Rfam